UUAUCCUUAGUUCCUAAGGACUCCUCUCCCAUCUACACACUCCGUGGGUUUCGACCCAUUUCCCGCAGAACCGCCAGAACCCAGGCCUGGAGGUGCCUUGGCCUCCGGAAGGCACCAAAGCGGGAGCCACAACCCGGAGCGGCUCCCAAUCCGCCGAGAGCAGGCGGUGGGUACCCCCCUUUCCCUCGCUUUUUCAGCGAGGUUGGAAGCGGCUGCUCCUUCUUCUUCAAACUUAACUCCGCACACCAGCGGCCCGGCCCGGAUCGAGCCUUUCCCGAGCGGUUCCGGAAGUGGGCCACUUCAGUGCAAAGUCAUAAAGCUUCAGGUGUUCAGAAGUACCAGACUGUAUUAAGAUCCCUGCAUCUGGCUUACCAAGAGGUGUCCAGAGGCUGUGCCCUUCUGUCAAACAGUGUGGACAAGAGCAGCAAAGCUGCAGAGCAGAACCAUGGAUGCUCCUGAGAGUGGCUGUGAGUCUUCAAAAUACAUAAAAGCAACUUCUUUUCAAGUUCCCUCAUGGCCACUUGGACUACACCAUCCACUGAACCAAGGGAAGAAUUCCUGCUGCAACCAGCUCCUUCAUUUUCUUAAAAUCUAUACUGCAGUUUUUCUUCUGCUU
Molecule: long non-coding RNA, 616 nt
Organism: Calypte anna (Anna's hummingbird)
Lineage: Eukaryota; Metazoa; Chordata; Aves; Apodiformes; Trochilidae
Exons: 4
Source: RefSeq, a predicted model, not a curated record